Dreissena polymorpha is the source of this 481-nucleotide long non-coding RNA. RefSeq lists it as uncharacterized. NCBI's taxonomy places the organism in Eukaryota, Metazoa, Mollusca, Bivalvia, Myida, Dreissenidae. The transcript has 2 exons. The record is from RefSeq and is a predicted model, not a curated record.
UUUAUUAACCAGGUUUUCGGAAGGAAAAAACUGGUUAUUAGAUUGGCGAAUGCGGGCGGGCUGGCUGGCUGGCUGGCUGGCGGGCUGGCUGGCUGGCUGGCGGGCUGGCGGAAUAAGCUUGUCCGGGCCAUAACUAUGUCGUUCAUUGUCAGAUUUUAAAAUCAUUUGGCACAUUUGUUCACCAUCAUUGGACGGUGUGUUGCGCGAAAUAAUUACGUCGAUAUCUCCAAGGUCAAGGUCACACUUUGAGUUCAAAGGUCAAAAAUGGCCAUAAAUGAGCUUGUCCUGGCCAUAACUAUGUCAUUCAUUGUGAGAUUUUAAAAUCAUUUGGCACAUUUGUUCACCAUCAUGGGACGGUGUGUCCCACGAAAGAAUCACGUCAAUAUCUCCAAUGUCAAGGUCGCCACGACUAAAAAUAGAUUUAAAAAAAAAAAAAAACUUACAAAGGGGGUUAAUUUUGUUUGGUCAUUUCAAAAGUUCA